Molecule: microRNA, 21 nt
Filed under: Bos taurus (domestic cattle)
Lineage: Eukaryota; Metazoa; Chordata; Mammalia; Artiodactyla; Bovidae
Description: bta-miR-2314
Source: miRBase by way of RNAcentral
UGCCCAUGAUGACUGCUGACC